This is a long non-coding RNA of Chelonia mydas (Green sea turtle), 598 nucleotides long. RefSeq lists it as uncharacterized. NCBI's taxonomy places the organism in Eukaryota, Metazoa, Chordata, Testudines, Cheloniidae. The transcript has 4 exons. The record is from RefSeq and is a predicted model, not a curated record.
AUAGCUUGGGGGAAACACCUGCAGGGCUUGGCUUUGCACUGUGCCAGGAGAGAGCUGCGGGUAGAAGCACAAGAUUGAAAGAGGUGAGCCGGAUGGGGAAUGUUGCAGUGUUCACUCCACUACCUCGGAGGAAGGGGGCCUAAGAGAAAGACAGCGUAGCAUCCCUCCUGCUACCUCUUACUCAGAAGUAUCUGUUUGAAGAAUUGAGUGUGGUCAACCAUUUUCUACUGCUCCUCUGGAGCUCAUUGAAGGAUCUCUACUGGCUUCCAUUGGAAUUGGGUCAGGUCUUCAGUUUGGGGAAGACUUUGAUACCCAGGAAGGAGGAAACUAUAGUGACCUGGGUAGAGGGCCAAGCCACAAAGAGGGAGUAACCUGAGUCCAGAGAGGAAGAGAGAGAGAGACACACACACACACAACAGGUCAAACAACCCAAGGACGGGGUAUCGGACCAGUGAAGAACUAAUCCCCAGCAGUCGCACCAGCAUUGUGUCCAGUUGUGAUGCCCACAAUCCAAGGAAAAUGUUGAGAAAUUGGAGAGGAUUCAGAGAAGAGCCACGAGAAUGAUUCAAGGAUGAGAAAACCUGCCUUAUAGUGACAG